GACGAACGCUGGCGGCGUGCUUAACACAUGCAAGUCGAACGGAAAGGCCCGCAUCAUUUUUUUGGUGGGGGUGCUCGAGUGGCGAACGGGUGAGUAACACGUGGGUGAUCUGCCCUGUACUUCGGGAUAAGCUUGGGAAACUGGGUCUAAUACCGGAUAGGACCAUGGUUUAGUGUCUCAUGGUGGAAAGAUUAUUGUUUUGGUGCAGGAUGAGCUCGCGGCCUAUCAGCUUGUUGGUGGGGUAAUGGCCUACCAAGGCGUCGACGGGUAGCCGGCCUGAGAGGGUGGACGGCCACAUUGGGACUGAGAUACGGCCCAGACUCCUACGGGAGGCAGCAGUGGGGAAUAUUGCACAAUGGGCGCAAGCCUGAUGCAGCGACGCCGCGUGGGGGAUGACGGCCUUCGGGUUGUAAACUCCUUUCGUUAGGGACGAAGCCGCACCUUUUUUUGGGUGUGGUGACGGUACCUUUGUUAAGAAGCACG
This 483-nucleotide ribosomal RNA is filed under the name Corynebacterium matruchotii. Its description in RNAcentral is "bacterial SSU rRNA". It matches the Rfam family "Bacterial small subunit ribosomal RNA", at positions 28 to 494 of the family's 1533-position model. The record is from RNAcentral. Lineage: Bacteria; Bacillati; Actinomycetota; Actinomycetes; Mycobacteriales; Corynebacteriaceae.